RNAcentral lists this ribosomal RNA (253 nucleotides) under uncultured bacterium. Its description in RNAcentral is "partial 16S ribosomal RNA". It matches the Rfam family "Bacterial small subunit ribosomal RNA", at positions 524 to 776 of the family's 1533-position model. The record is from RNAcentral.
UACGUAGGGCGCAAGCGUUAUCCGGAAUUAUUGGGCGUAAAGAGCUCGUAGGCGGUUCGUCACGUCGGGUGUGAAAACUCGGGGCUUAACCCCGAGCCUGCUUCCGAUACGGGCAGACUAGAGGUAGGCAGGGGAGAGCGGAACUCCUGGUGUAGCGGUGGAAUGCGCAGAUAUCAGGAGGAACACCGAUGGCGAAGGCAGCACUCUGGGCCGGUACUGACGCUGAGGUGCGAAAGCGUGGGGAGCAAACAGG